RNAcentral lists this ribosomal RNA (496 nucleotides) under uncultured bacterium. RNAcentral describes it as "partial 16S ribosomal RNA". It matches the Rfam family "Bacterial small subunit ribosomal RNA", at positions 29 to 507 of the family's 1533-position model. The record is from RNAcentral.
ACGCACGCUGGCGGCGUGCCUAAUACAUGCAAGUAGAACGCUGAAGAGAGGAGCUUGCUCUUCUUGGAUGAGUUGCGAACGGGUGAGUAACGCGUAGGUAACCUGCCUUGUAGCGGGGGAUAACUAUUGGAAACGAUAGCUAAUACCGCAUAACAAUGGAUGACACAUGUCAUUUAUUUGAAAGGGGCAAUUGCUCCACUACAAGAUGGACCUGCGCUGUAUUAGCUAGUAGGUGAGGUAAUGGCUCACCUAGGCGACGAUACAUAGCCGACCUGAGAGGGUGAUCGGCCACACUGGGACUGAGACACGGCCCAGACUCCUACGGGAGGCAGCAGUAGGGAAUCUUCGGCAAUGGGGGCAACCCUGACCGAGCAACGCCGCGUGAGUGAAGAAGGUUUUCGGAUCGUAAAGCUCUGUUGUAAGUCAAGAACGGGUGUGAGAGUGGAAAGUUCACACUGUGACGGUAGCUUACCAGAAAGGGACGGCUAACUACGUG